This 435-nucleotide ribosomal RNA is filed under the name Triticum aestivum (bread wheat). RNAcentral describes it as "partial small subunit ribosomal RNA". The record is from RNAcentral. Lineage: Eukaryota; Viridiplantae; Streptophyta; Magnoliopsida; Poales; Poaceae.
AUGGCGGUGACCAUGACGAGCGUUUCCACCGGCGUGAUGUACUCCCUCCUCGGGAAGCUCGCAACGCUGAUGGGGAAUGAGCAUCGCAAGAUCAAAGGCGUCCGGAACAAGGUAGCGUCCCUUCUGGACGAGUUCAGUAGCAUGAGUGCUCUGCUUGUGAAGCUCGCAGGCAUGGAUGAGCUUGACGUUCAGGCGAGGGAGUGGAGGGACCAGGUCCGGGAGAUGUCAUACGACAUCGAAGACUGCGUCGACGAUUUCAUGCGUGACCUUGGACAAAAAGGCGCAACCACUGGAUUUCUGAAGAAGACUGCCGAACGCCUGAAGAAGCUCAGGGUGCGCCAUCAAAUGGCCACCAUGAUCCGUAGGAUCGAGACUCGUGUAAGUGAAGUGCAUGACCGGCGCACGAGGUACAAAAUUGAUGAGUACACUCCAUAA